AAAAACAUGUCUUUUUGGUAAUAAUUUAAAGUCUAAUCUGCCCACUGAUUUAAAUUAAAGGGCUGCAGUAUAUUGACUGUACAAAGGUAGCAUAAUCAUUAGUUUUUUAAUUGAAAACUUGUAUGAAGGAUUUGAUGAAAUAUAAACUGUCUCUUAUUUAAAAUUAAAAAUUUAUUUUUUAGUUAAAAAGCUAAAAUAAUUUUAAAAGACGAGAAGACCCUAUAGAGUUUUAUAUUAAAUUAUUUUAUAAUUAUUUAUAUAAUUAAAAAUUAAAAAUGAAUUUAAUAUUUUAUUGGGGUGAUAGAAAAAUUAAAAAAACUUUUUUUAAAUUAUUAACAUAGAUAUAUGAAUAAAUGAUCCAUAAUUAAUGAUUAUAAGAAAAAAUUACCUUAGGGAUAACAGCGUAAUAUUUUUUUUUAGUUCAUAUAAAAAAAAAAGUUUGCGACCUCGAUGUUGGAUUAAGAUAAAAUUUAAAUGCAAAAGUUUAAAAGUUUUGAUCUGUUCGAUCAUUAAAAUCUUACAUGAUCUGAGU
This 532-nucleotide ribosomal RNA is filed under the name Melanitis leda. Its description in RNAcentral is "partial 16S ribosomal RNA". The stretch from base 395 to 532 matches the Rfam family "Archaeal large subunit ribosomal RNA", at positions 2542 to 2679 of the family's 2987-position model. The record is from RNAcentral. Lineage: Eukaryota; Metazoa; Arthropoda; Insecta; Lepidoptera; Nymphalidae.